CAAGUCGAACGGGAAAGCUCCCUUCGGGGAGUGAGUAUAGUGGCGAACGGGUGAGUAACGCGUGGGAAACCUGCCCUUAAGUGGGGGAUAACAGGCCUAACGGCCUGCUAAUACCGCAUGUGUCCCCNGGAAUCGCAUGGUUCCGGGAAGAAAGGUGGCCUCUCCUUGGAAGCUAUCGCUUAAGGAUGGUCCCGCGUCCCAUUAGCUUGUUGGUGGGGUAAUGGCCUACCAAGGCUACGAUGGGUAGCCGGCCUGAGAGGGUGUCCGGCCACACUGGGACUGAGAUACGGCCCAGACUCCUACGGGAGGCAGCAGUCGAGAAGCUUCGGCAAUGGGCGAAAGCCUGACCGAGCGACGCCGCGUGAGCGAUGAAGGUCCUAUGGAUUGUAAAGCUCUGUCAGAUUGGGAAGAAAACUUCGCGAUUAAUACCCGCGAAGCUUGACGGUACCAUCAGAGGAAGCACCGGCUAACUCCGUGCCAGCAGCCGCGGUAAUACGGAGGGUGCGAGCGUUGUUCGGAUUCACUGGGUAUAAAGGGUGCGUAGGCGGCCUCGUAAGUCAGGGGUGAAAUAUGACGGCUCAACCGUCAAACUGCCCCUGAAACUGCAAGGCUUGAGUCCGGGAGAGGAAGGUGGAAUUCCUGGUGUAGCGGUGAAAUGCGUAAAUAUCAGGAGGAACACCGGUGGCGAAGGCGGCCUUCUGGUCCGGUACUGACGCUGAGGCACGAAAGCUAGGGGAGCGAACAGGAUUAGAUACCCUGGUAGUCCUAGCCGUAAACGAUGGGCACUAGGUGUCGGAGGAGUCUACCCCUUCGGUGCCGCAGCUAAUGCCUUAAGGUGCCCCACCUGGGGAGUACGAUCGCAAGGUUGAAAUUCUAAGGAAUUGACGGGGGCCCGCACAAGCGUUGGAGCAUGUGUUGUAAUUCGAUGCAACGCGAAGAACCUUACCUGGGCUUGACAUGCAGGGGACAGGUGCAGAAAUGUACCCUUCUUCGGACCCCUGUGCAGUUGCUGCAUGGCUGUCGUCAGCUCGUUUCGUGACAUGUUGGGUUAAGUCCCGCAACGAGCGCAACCCCUGUCUUCAGUUGCCAUCAGUUCGGCUGGGGACUCUGGAGAGACUGCCGGUGACAAACCGGAGGAAGGUGGGGACGACGUCAAGUCAUCAUGGCCCUUACGCCCAGGGCUACACACGUGCUACAAUGGUCGGUACAAUGGGCCGCAAUACCGUGAGGUGGAGCGAAUCCCAA
Molecule: ribosomal RNA, 1245 nt
Filed under: uncultured organism
Description: bacterial SSU rRNA
Rfam family: Bacterial small subunit ribosomal RNA
Source: RNAcentral